AAUGAACGCUGGCGGCGCGCCUAAUACAUGCAAGUCGAGCGAGAAGACGUAGCAAUACGUUUGUAAAGCGGCGAACGGGUGAGGAAUACAUGGGUAACCUACCCUCGAGUGGGGAAUAACUAGCCGAAAGGUUAGCUAAUACCGCGUACGCUUCUUGGACUUCGGUUCAGGGAGGAAAGCGAUGCCGAGGGUAUCGCGCUCUUGGAUGGGCUCAUGUCCUAUCAGCUUGNGGUGAGGUAACGGCUCACCAAGGCUUCGACGGGUAGCUGGUCUGAGAGGACGAUCAGCCACACUGGCACUGCGACACGGGCCAGACUCCUACGGGAGGCAGCAGUAAGGAAUAUUGCGCAAUGGGCGAAAGCCUGACGCAGCGACGCCGCGUGGGGGGA
This 389-nucleotide ribosomal RNA is filed under the name uncultured bacterium. RNAcentral describes it as "bacterial SSU rRNA". It matches the Rfam family "Bacterial small subunit ribosomal RNA", at positions 29 to 409 of the family's 1533-position model. The record is from RNAcentral.